This 547-nucleotide ribosomal RNA is filed under the name uncultured bacterium. RNAcentral's name for it is "bacterial SSU rRNA". It matches the Rfam family "Bacterial small subunit ribosomal RNA", at positions 775 to 1321 of the family's 1533-position model. The record is from RNAcentral.
AGUCAAUAGAUACCCGGGUAGUCCAUGCCGUAAACGAUGAUUGCUAGGUGUGGGGGGUCUGACCCCUUCCGUGCCGGAGUUAAACACAAAUAAGCAAUCCACCUGGGGAGUACGGCCGCAAGGUUGAAACUCAAAGGAAUUGACGGGGGCCCGCACAAGCAGUGGAGUAUGUGGUUUAAUUCGAAGCAACGCGAAGAACCUUACCAGGUCUUGACAUCCACCGAAUCCUGUAGAGAUACGGGAGUGCCCUUCGGGGAACGGUGAGACAGGUGGUGCAUGGUUGUCGUCAGCUCGUGUCGUGAGAUGUUGGGUUAAGUCCCGCAACGAGCGCAACCCUUGUGAAUAGUUGCUACGAAAGAGCACUCUAUUCAGACCGCCGUUGACAAAACGGAGGAAGGUGGGGAUGACGUCAAAUCAUCAUGCCCCUUAUGACCUGGGCUACACACGUACUACAAUGGCCGUUAACAGAGGGAUGCAAUACCGCGAGGUGGAGCGAACCCCUAAAAACGGUACUCAGUUCAGAUUGCAGGCUGAAACUCGCCUGCAU